GGACUUUGGAGAAGCUGCGCACGUUCGUUGCCGCAGUGCCGAAGGUGAAAGCGGAAGACGCGAAUCUCUCAGGCAAAAGGACAAAGUU
Molecule: non-coding RNA, 88 nt
Filed under: bovine gut metagenome
Description: Glycine riboswitch
Rfam family: Glycine riboswitch aptamer
About the family: This family represents the bacterial glycine riboswitch. Glycine riboswitches usually consist of two metabolite-binding aptamers domains with similar structures in tandem.
Source: RNAcentral